Transfer RNA from Oryza sativa Japonica Group (Japanese rice), 70 nucleotides. It matches the Rfam family "tRNA". Rfam says of the family: Transfer RNA (tRNA) molecules are approximately 80 nucleotides in length. The record is from Rfam. NCBI's taxonomy places the organism in Eukaryota, Viridiplantae, Streptophyta, Magnoliopsida, Poales, Poaceae.
ACUACCACUCUCUUAUGAAUGGGAGAGGUCUUCUAAACCUUUGGUAUAGGUUCAAAUCCUAUUGGACGCA